This 253-nucleotide ribosomal RNA is filed under the name uncultured bacterium. RNAcentral describes it as "partial 16S ribosomal RNA". It matches the Rfam family "Bacterial small subunit ribosomal RNA", at positions 524 to 776 of the family's 1533-position model. The record is from RNAcentral.
CACGUAGGGCGCAAGCGUUGUCCGGAAUUAUUGGGCGUAAAGAGCUCGUAGGCGGUCUGUUGCGUCCGCUGUGAAAACUCGGGGCUUAACCCCGAGCCUGCAGUGGAUACGGGCAGACUAGAGGUAGGUAGGGGAGAAUGGAAUUCCCGGUGUAGUGGUGAAAUGCGUAGAUAUCGGGAGGAACACCAGUGGCGAAGGCGACUUCCUGGCCUGUUCUUGACGCUGAGGCGCGAAAGCUAGGGGAGCAAACGGG